Molecule: long non-coding RNA, 537 nt
Filed under: Equus caballus (horse)
Lineage: Eukaryota; Metazoa; Chordata; Mammalia; Perissodactyla; Equidae
Description: lncRNA (ENSECAG00000052744.1)
Source: RNAcentral
AGAGGAUUACCAUAGUCACACUGACCGAUUACUUAGGCUGGUCCAGGGAUCCACACUCAAUGGGGAUUUUCUAGAUCCAGGAAGUGGUUCUUAAUUUGGCAGCCCCAGAAAUUCAGUUUUAUCAAGGUAGCUGUGGGUAAGCCAUGUCCCUGGACCGAAGUCCCCGCUUCUGUUGGGCAGCCCUCUUCCACACAGCUCUCCUCUCUGGGUGCCAGUAUCCACUUCUUGUCCAUUCAGGCCUAAGGGAGAAACCCCAGUAAAGCCUGUGGCCUCUGCUUUCCCCUCGCUCCUGCUUCUGCCUCCUCACCAAACCUGCUGCUUGGCCGUGCCAUGCCAUGCUCCCUUCUCUCAGGAACUGUAAGUAACAAAACAUCUUUCAGUGGCAUUAACCUCUCCGUGUCAUCACUCAGUCACCUUGAUAAAUUAAGAGCCAGGCACAAAUCAUCCACCCAAAAUAAUUUUCUUCCCUCUUCUUCUCUCUCUCCCUUUCCUUCUUUCUCUGUGUCGAAAGUCUGUCCCUUCCCUUUGUUCCUUACC